This 241-nucleotide unclassified non-coding RNA is filed under the name Hevea brasiliensis (rubber tree). The record is from RNAcentral. Lineage: Eukaryota; Viridiplantae; Streptophyta; Magnoliopsida; Malpighiales; Euphorbiaceae.
AGAAGGAGAAGAGGAAAAGAGAUCUUGGUCAGGCUAGUCGGGGGAAGAAUUAUGUUGAAGAAGAGAAGAGGUUGUUAAGGGAAAGUGGCAUCUACUCUAGUUUUGAUACAUGAUAACUAAUGCUUUGUAGCAAUGCUUCUUGUUGUGCAAAGGAUGUGAAGACUUUGUUAUUAUGCGGCCAAAGCUAUACCUUGUUAGAAAUUAUUUCUAAUGCGUUGCUUGAAUUCCAGUUUUGUUUUCU